Molecule: ribosomal RNA, 255 nt
Filed under: uncultured bacterium
Lineage: Bacteria
Description: partial 16S ribosomal RNA
Rfam family: Bacterial small subunit ribosomal RNA
Source: RNAcentral
UACGUAGGGUGCAAGCGUUGUCCGGAAUUAUUGGGCGUAAAGAAGCUCUGUGAGCGGUUUGUCGCGUCUGCUGUGAAAACCCGAGGCUCAACCUCGGGCCUGCAGUGGGUACGGGCAGACUAGAGUGCGGUAGGGGAGAUUGGAAUUCCUGGUGUAGCGGUGGAAUGCGCAGAUAUCAGGAGGAACACCAAUGGCGAAGGCAGAUCUCUGGGCCGUAACUGACGCUGAGGAGCGAAAGCGUGGGGAGCGAACAGG